Pseudophryne corroboree (corroboree frog) is the source of this 541-nucleotide long non-coding RNA. RefSeq lists it as uncharacterized. NCBI's taxonomy places the organism in Eukaryota, Metazoa, Chordata, Amphibia, Anura, Myobatrachidae. The transcript has 3 exons. The record is from RefSeq and is a predicted model, not a curated record.
AUAGCAUGUUUUAACCCUUCAUUAGGGAAGUAGAAAUAUUCACUUUUACACUGUAACUAUUAUAAGGAAAUUGAUCAUAUAAAAAGUAAUAUUUACAAAGCACAGAAGAGUUAACCCUUCAAUCCCCUCUUAGAAUCAUGAUUGUUAUAUAACAUGAUUCUUGGGUGAGGCUCCUUUCUUGUUCCUCCAGUUCUUGAGAUAUUGGACAUAAUCGUCGGGUCCCUUACUAUCAGAGGAGGUGACAGGACUGGUGGUUAUAUCAUAGUACAUCAGGGCCUUAUCAAUGCCUUUGGAGGUGGGAGGUCAGGGCUGUCUGCCCCGGUUCGUACCUCACUGGAAUCACUUGCUUCCCUCUCUAGGUCUGGUCUAGGAACCUUUUUUACUCGGGAUGCAUGGAUCCAGGUAUGCUGAAAAAGGCAUUCUUCAAAUCAAUUACAGAGAAGAACGCAGCAUCUGCAGGGAUUGCAGAAAUGAGUGAGUUUACAUCUGGAACAAUUGGUGCAAUUGGGACAAUUAACUGAUUGAUCGCUCUGAGAUCCUG